CUGCAGUCGAACGGUAGCAGGAAGUGCUUGCACUUUGCUGACGAGUGGCGGACGGGUGAGUAAUGCUUGGGAACUUGCCUUUGCGAGGGGGAUAACAGUUGGAAACGACUGCUAAUACCGCAUAAUGUCUACGGACCAAACGGGGCUUAGGCUUCGGCGCAGAGAGAGGCCCAAGUGAGAUUAGCUAGUUGGUGGGGUAAAGGCUCACCAAGGCGACGAUCUCUAGCUGUUCUGAGAGGAAGAUCAGCCACACUGGGACUGAGACACGGCCCAGACUCCUACGGGAGGCAGCAGUGGGGAAUAUUGCACAAUGGGGGGAACCCUGAUGCAGCCAUGCCGCGUGUGUGAAGAAGGCCUUCGGGUUGUAAAGCACUUUCAGUUGUGAGGAAAAGUGAGUAGUUAAUACCUGCUCACCGUGACGUUAACAACAGAAGAAGCACCGGCUAACUCCGUGCCAGCAGCCGCGGUAAUACGGAGGGUGCGAGCGUUAAUCGGAAUUACUGGGCGUAAAGCGCACGCAGGCGGUUUGUUAAGCUAGAUGUGAAAGCCCCGAGCUCAACUUGGGAUGGUCAUUUAGAACUGGCAGACUAGAGUCUUGGAGAGGGGAGUGGAAUUCCAGGUGUAGCGGUGAAAUGCGUAGAUAUCUGGAGGAACAUCAGUGGCGAAGGCGACUCCCUGGCCAAAGACUGACGCUCAUGUGCGAAAGUGUGGGUAGCGAACAGGAUUAGAUACCCUGGUAGUCCACACCGUAAACGCUGUCUACUAGCUGUUUGUGGCUUUAAGCCGUGAGUAGCGAAGCUAACGCGAUAAGUAGACCGCCUGGGGAGUACGGCCGCAAGGUUAAAACUCAAAUGAAUUGACGGGGGCCCGCACAAGCGGUGGAGCAUGUGGUUUAAUUCGAUGCAACGCGAAGAACCUUACCUACACUUGACAUGCAGAGAACUUUCCAGAGAUGGAUUGGUGCCUUCG
RNAcentral lists this ribosomal RNA (969 nucleotides) under Alteromonas sp. Its description in RNAcentral is "bacterial SSU rRNA". It matches the Rfam family "Bacterial small subunit ribosomal RNA", at positions 55 to 1022 of the family's 1533-position model. The record is from RNAcentral. Lineage: Bacteria; Pseudomonadati; Pseudomonadota; Gammaproteobacteria; Alteromonadales; Alteromonadaceae.